This 25-nucleotide non-coding RNA is filed under the name Rattus norvegicus (Norway rat). The record is from RNAcentral. Lineage: Eukaryota; Metazoa; Chordata; Mammalia; Rodentia; Muridae.
AUACUACCUCAUGACUUACCUCAUG